UACUGGUUCUUUCUCCCUGGGCUUAUAGUCCCACUGUGUUGAGUACCUUGUCUUCCUCUGUUCGGGUCACCUCCCUGUGCCACAAACAUCUACCUUCCAGGAAAGGAUCACAAACUGUAGGACUGAAGACUAGAUUUCAACCCAUAGAUGUCUAUGAUUUGGCCUGCUCUGUGUAUGUGUGUGUAUACACACACACACACACACACACACACACACACACACACACACUUAAAUGUAAAUGCCUUUGAAGGAGGGACCAGGCUCUCUGGUAUGUCAUGUUCCCUCAACCCUUCUGGUUGCCUCACCUUUGGCCUGCUUUGCUCAUUUCCCUUCAUGCCUGACAGCCACAGGCUUCUGUAUGUCUAAGCCCCACUGGAAGGAAAGAUGUAGGGGGUCUGGUCCACCAAGGGGCAGCAUCUGGACCAACAGGGCACUGGCUUUCUUCCUUGUCACAUCUUUCUCAUCCUUGCUCACAGCAGGAUGAGCGCUUGGAGAGAUGGCUGGCUUCCUACAGAAGGUUACCAAAAGACCAAGCUAUCUUCCCUUGAAAAUAAAACCCAAUUGCCUGUAUAUUAGAUUGAACUAUAUAAAAUUGUCCAUGUUCAACUUUGCCCUAUAAAGAUGACAAUUUCACAUGAUUCAACCUAUUAACAUGGCCCUGGCUUAGUCGCUAGUAGGACAAUGGUUCUCAGCCUUGGUUGCAAAUUAGAAUAAACUGGAGGUUUUAAAAAAUACCCUUGCUAGGACCUCACCACAAGACU
RNAcentral lists this long non-coding RNA (761 nucleotides) under Homo sapiens (human). RNAcentral describes it as "HSALNT0018124". The record is from RNAcentral. Lineage: Eukaryota; Metazoa; Chordata; Mammalia; Primates; Hominidae.